GCCGUCGUAGCUCAGUGGUAGAGCAACCGCCUUGUAAGCGGUAGGUCGUUGGUUCAAAUCCAUCCUGCGGCA
Molecule: transfer RNA, 72 nt
Filed under: Acetobacter malorum DSM 14337
Lineage: Bacteria; Pseudomonadati; Pseudomonadota; Alphaproteobacteria; Acetobacterales; Acetobacteraceae
Description: tRNA-Thr
Rfam family: tRNA
About the family: Transfer RNA (tRNA) molecules are approximately 80 nucleotides in length.
Source: RNAcentral